CUAGCCAGGUCCUCCCAGUUUUAUGGUUCUACCCAUCAGUAACGACUACAACAUUCUUGUCGACAACAUGCAUAAUCCACAGUGGUACAUUUUUUGGAGCACUGACAGGAACACAAGAAUCCUAUCAGAGUACUUCGUCAACAUCAAGUUCCCCAGUGUGCAACAGAUGCAAGGAUUAUUGGGAUAUUUCUGACUCUUCUAGCCGAGAUUUAGUGGUUUGUUCCAUACGCGAGCUGCAGACAUUGUAGAGGACUUUCAAUUGAUUCAAGGUAAAUUGAUGUUCUUUGCCUGAUCAUUACAGUUACUGCAUUUGAUUAAUGAAAUUACGAGGACAGCGAUACAUUUA
Long non-coding RNA from Lolium perenne, 346 nucleotides. RefSeq lists it as uncharacterized. The record is from RefSeq and is a predicted model, not a curated record. Lineage: Eukaryota; Viridiplantae; Streptophyta; Magnoliopsida; Poales; Poaceae.